CAGCCGCCGCGGGAAUACAGAGGUCUCAAGCGUUGUUCGGAUUCAUUGGGCGUAAAGGGUGCGUAGGUGGUCAUGUAAGUCUAAUGUGAAAUCUCGGGGCUUAACCCCGAAAUUGCAUCGGAUACUGCGUGACUAGAGGAUUGUAGAGGAGAUUGGAAUUCACGGUGUAGCAGUGAAAUGCGUAGAUAUCGUGAGGAAGACCAGUUGCGAAGGCGAAUCUCUGGGCAAUUCCUGACACUGAGGCACGAAGGCCAGGGGAGCAAACGGGAUUAGAUACCCGCGUAGUCCCUGUCUCUUAUAC
This 301-nucleotide ribosomal RNA is filed under the name uncultured bacterium. Its description in RNAcentral is "partial 16S ribosomal RNA". It matches the Rfam family "Bacterial small subunit ribosomal RNA", at positions 509 to 807 of the family's 1533-position model. The record is from RNAcentral.